ACUGUGCCCUGAGCUUGGGCACCACCUUUACAGACCUGGCAUUGCAGGAGGCAUGUGGUGCUGCUGAACAAAAAAGCAGGGAGCUGAGUUCUCUUGAGAUCCUCCAUACUUUCCUCUUCCCAGAUCACUCAGCCCUCCUCUGAAGGAAUUCAGCAACCACCUGAUGACCUUGGGGUGCCAAUGUGCAGUUGUGCAUCCCCCCCAGCCAGUCUGUUUUUGAGGCACUCAGAGGCCAAUCUCUUGGAGGUCAUUUCAGAGCACUGGAGAGGCAGGGUGACCAAGCUUGGCUGGCAGCCUGCACAGGCCAUGGAGCAGCAGUCACCUGGCAGCAGCGAUCAGCAGGACUCACGGCAUGAUGAGUGCAGAGGGCAGAGGAGGCUGCAGAGGAAACUCGUGCCCGGCAGGUGGGGAGAAUGUGGCUGUCAGGUUGUACCUGUACCAUGAUCUCAUGCCUGAGGGAUGGUAACAAGCUGUAACUGUGUAAACCAAAGUGCCUCCCACAUUUGCUGCUCUGCCCCGAGUGCUGAGGCUGUGAGGAGUGUUGGAAUCUGAGGCAUUGAUGAUUCCGAGAUUGUAGAAAGUCUCUGUCUUUCUGCCCCGUUGCCAAAGAAGAAGCCAUAAUUCGUCUGUGCUGGUUUUCAAGGUUGUUUAUUCUUGCUUAUCUCUAACAUGUUCUGCUGCCCUGCCUCAGGUCUGUCCUGCAGGGCAGCGUGUGGGGCUCUGCCCCCAGUGGGAUGUUACAAACAUUAUAUACCAGAAACUACCUGUGCUAUAUUUACAAUAAUGUGCCAAUAUCUAUCACCUACGUUGAACAGUGUGUCCCCAGCCUAAACCAAUAGAAAAAUGCCAACACUACAGUGAAACAUGGAGGGCAUGAAGAAGGAGAAAAAGGACAAGACACACCCAAUUUCCUCCAUCUUGUCCCCUUUGGACCCCUUAUCUAGAAUCCUAAAAUUUUACUUUUGCACCUGUGCCACACUUAAUUAUUACUUAUAUCAAACACUCAGAGCUUGUAAUUCAUCCUGUAAGAUUGAAAACUCUUUUCCAUGGACAGAGAUCAGAGACAGUGUCUCUGGGGGCUCUGUACAGGGGGGUUCCUGACCCCCUGCCAGGGUCCCAGGCCUUCCAGGGCAGCCAGAGGGAAGCCCUGGAUUCCCACAAAGGAGGACACCUUAACCCACCUGGCAGCAUAGAUUCAGCCCUCAAGAAAAGCCCAGCUGUCUCCCUGAGCAGGUGGUUUCCAGGAAGAGCCACAUUGCUGACUGUGAGGAGCUGAAAGAACCAUGUAUGGGAUUUGCCUUAAAAUAGACAGAGAUACAGGAACAGAAUUCAGGUCCCAGGCAAUGUGGACUUGAUGGCAUCUCAGGCCUUUGGUCAGGAAGGGAAGUGCUGCUGAAGCUACAGCUGCCUCAGCCUUGACUGCCAGUGUGUCUGAUAACCUUAGGCAUGUUUUCACUCAAAGAAAGGAUUCUGGUUGAGAUUUUUGGUGGGCUUUUUUUUUUUUUUUGUUUAUGUGUUUUUUUGUUGCUGUUUUUUUUUUUCCCAGCCAAAUUCAUUCUACUUUAUUGUUUUCUGGUUUUCUAAAAGCCAAGCUGAGCAGGAAAUAGAUUCCCCCUUUCCCAAAGUUUUGAGAUAUUGUGAAAAGUGGUCUAUCUUAUAUUUGGAGAAUGAGAUCUCUAACAUUUCAAAUAAUUAAUAUUUUUCUAGGGAAAAGGAAGCACUUUUAGAAAUAUUUCAUUUCAGUAACCUUAAAAUGGUCUUUUUAGAACCAUCUUACUAUAUCUAGCCUUCUGGAUUUUAGCAACCAAGUACUGUAUUAACAACUAAGUAUUGUAUAAGUAUUGCAUAUCUGUAGUAAAUUUUUUUUCUUAAAAGCUAUCUAAAUGUUAUGAUACCUAGAAAAGGGAUUCCCUCAGCAGUAUUUCAAGCUGACAAGUUCUUUGAAAACAUCUUUUCUCCAAAAAUUAUCUGGUUCUGAGGAACCAGCAAUAUAUUUGAGAAAAGUUUGGUGAAAAACUUUCAGCAAAUUCUCCUGAAGCAUGUAUCUUUUCACUGUAAAGCAUUUCCUGGCCAUUUUCAAACCAAGAAGUGAUGAGUUGAAAGACAGAGUCUCUUGAUGGCAGCUGUAAAACACAGUGAGAUGAAUUUUUGGCUUCCAUUCACUCUUGCUGCGUAGCUUGGCUUUGCUCUUUGAAAUAGUUGCUGUAUGGUCCCGAUUAUAAAAAUUCACCGCAGUAUCAGUUGUUUUGGUAAAAUACUCUAAGAGCUAUUGGGACAGCACACUUCAGGUAGCAGGACCCCAGAACUGCUCAGGGCACAACAUCAGUGAGCAGGAGGAGAAAUGGAUUUGUCCUUAUUGCCCACCUGCUGCUUUGCUCUCUCAUGGCACAGCCUGCCUGCCCUGCAGCGUCUGCUGGAGCGCGUGGCACCCAGAGACCGUGUGAGUUAAUUAUUAAACAAAAUGGAACCAUUAUGCCCUGUGCCACUGCUGUUCCUCACAUAAAUCUGCUGCACAGUAGAAAAACGAUCCCGUGCAAUGAGAACAAAGGAACCUUUUCAGGAUGGGCACAUAUUCCUCUGCUGGAGAGCUGCUCUUCCUUCAUCUCCCUGGAAGAGUGAUGCAUUUGGUCUCCAUAAAGGUGGGGGAUGUUGGAUAGACAGAUGAAAGUGAUACAGAGCCUCACGGCACUGAUUUCCAUGAAUAAUCUCCCCAGCUGUUAGCCUAGAUCUGGAGCCAUUUCCUUUCAGAAAAUAAAUUUCUGCUAGCAACAUUUCAGGGUCCGGAAGGAAAUAUUUACAAGUUACCUUUGGCAUUUCAAGGCUAGCACAAUUUGCACUGAGCUUCCCUUGAACUUCUAGAUAAAAUAUUAACUCCUGGACACGGUGCAGAGGCCCUGGCAGGCUGUCAACCAGGAACACAAUUAAGAAGACAGUCUCUGGUGGGAUAGCAUCCUGUACUUUAAAAAGCAUCUGUGAAUAGUUUCACUUGACUGACAUACAGGAAAAAAAUGAAGACUUACAGGUGAGAUCCCCACAUGCCAGCCACCCAAGGAAGGGUCCCCUUAGCUGAAACAGUCAGUCAUCUCAGCUCUGGGAGGGGAUAGAAGAGAGCCAGUCUGGUUUCUCUGCUGUGAAGCCUUUCUGAAGCUUUUUCUCUUACACAAAGGGGAAAGGGUCUCUCCUCUGUGGCUGCUCAGCCUGGCAGACAUGGGAGGCCCAUGAAGAGCAUGUGCUGUGGUAAAAAGGGUGCCUGGGCUGAGACCCCAGCAGAUGGGUGUCCAGCAGCUGCAGCAGGGCCCUGGCUGAGGGGCAGAAGCUGAGAUUCUGGCAGAGGGUGGGUCAGGCCAUGGGUCUCAGGUUUAUCUUAGAUAUUUGGCUUGUGUCCAUCAUGUCCAGGUACCAUGUAGAGAGAGAUGCCCAAGUCUCUGCCUUUCACCACUCAGCAUAGUGGCCCUGUGGAGGCAGAGCUCUGUGGCUGGAAGUAAAUAGAAGGGCAACAGUGGCUGUUUCCCUGGGGAUUUAAUUCCUCAGGAUCUGUGCUCCAAGAACUUCUGCAGGCAGCCUGUGUGCUUGACACAGGCAUUUUGCUGCCCCUGUCUUUGCUGGCCAGUGCCAAGCUGAGUUGGUCCUUUGCUGCCCUCUCAAAGAGGGCAAAGGUUUUGGAAGGAGUCCCUCUGCUUUGCCACAUGCUGUAAUAGCAGGGACAGGGAAACACAGAGGUCAUGUGGCCUAGGCAAAGCAAAAAGCAAAAGGACUGGCAAGGCUGGCCAUGGCAGCCAGGACUCCUGCCUCCUGGGAGGCAGCCACUGGUUUAUAACACUGCUUCUCUGAAUGUUGUUUAAAGGGACAACAGAGAGCACACGCCUGCUCCUGCUGGGCUCAGUCAGUUGUGUUUGUCGUGGCUUUUGCUUCUCUUCAAGAGUUUACCUUGGCUCUGUCCCUACUGCUUCACUGGCACCCUGUGAAAGGACUGCAGUGACCCUUGUCCCCUGGAUGCAGAAGGAGUGCCUGGAAUAGACUAAGGAGUCAAGAAAUGUGCAUGCUCCAAGGCUGGCUAGCUGUGUUUUGCAGGCCUGCUGAUGCCCAGCCACAGCUGGAUGCGAGACGUGUGAUGAGGGUCUGUCCCACUCCAUGUCAUGUGUCACACACCACAGCAAUGCUGUGCUGUGGUCACCUCCCGUGGUGACCCCAGAGGCUGCACAGAGCUGCCCAGCUGCCCUGUAACCUCUUGGCUGUGAUGUUGGGCUUUGACCCCUGUGUGGUGCUGGGUAUCUCUGCAUUCCUGACGUAUCCCUUUGAGGAGACACCUGCUCACACCUCCAGAGUCACCCGGCCAAACUCUGCCUUUGCUUCAGGGGUGCAGUUGCUGUGUCAGAGGUCUGUAGUAACCUGCAAAGAUCAAAGUUUAGCAGGCUGCUCAGGGAAAGGAAAUCUGGUGAGCAAAGGGCACCUGGCACUCCAGGGCUGUGUGGUCCAUUUUACCACCAGCUCUCCUUCACUCUGCUCCCUGUCCCCUCCUCCAGACAGCACCACAGGGAGAUGGUAUGAAGGGGCCCAUUUCUGCAAAGGCUGGGGAAAACCUGGACUUGAAAGGCACAGCUGGAAGUCUGGCCUGCUCCAUGCUCACUGCACUCUUCCAUUCCUUCCUGAAGCAAGGGCACAUCCUUCCACAGGGAGUGGGGGCAAAGCUCACCUCCUUGCCUGUGCUCUGAGUUGGCUGGAUGUGCCAAGUUCAGGGGAGACAUAGAUGCAAAAGACCUGAGACUGAUUUGAAACCUAUCUCUUGGUAUCUGCAGCCCACUGCUUUCCACUUAUGUGUAUUUACUGCUGGCAUGAGCCAUACAGGAGCUUUCCUCUCUGCCUCUCUGAGCAGUUCAGAGGCAGUGUGUCAUCAACUGGUUCUGGACAAGUGCUAACUGCAAAAUGUGCUAAAUGAAUGUUAGUCCUCUAUUUCUGCAAUUGGCUGACUCAGGGAGCUGCAAGCACACAGAGCAAAAUCUUCUCUAGUGCUUUCUCCAUUGGGAUUUCUUGAGACCUCACAUGGUUGAAGAUAUGAGGGUAGUCUGGUCAUGCUCAGGUCAUUCUGAACUACUUCCCAGUGACCUCCUGAGCUGUGCCUCUCAUCUACCUCCCUGCUUGUCUUGUCUUCCUUUGCAGGAAGGAACCUGUAACCAGGCAUCCUGUUUUGCCUGCCUAGAGCCAGGACCUUGCAGCUCAGUGCUAUGUGGACUCUCACCAUCUCCACUACAUUAUGGCCAAUAGACAUGCAAGCAGCUUCCCAGAACAACUCUGUGUAAAAUAUUCAACAUCCUAGCAGGAGCAGGGUGUCUCCAGUACUUGUGACAUCACUUAGGUUCAGCUUAGCUCUAAGUCAGUGUUUACAGGUGGAUUAUUUUUAAGCAGAAAUUCAAGUGAAUCUAGUUCAUGGAUAGGUACAAGUUAUAAAGAAAAUGCACAAAGGUCGUGCAGAAUUAGGAUUACUCUCUGUAGAAAGAAGUAGGCUGAAUUGUCUUUGUCCUAAAUCAGGACUAAAGUGCUGAGAAAAGUCCUAGAACUCCAUCUUUCCUGCCUCUGGUGAUAAAGGCGACUGAGGAGAAAGAAGGAUAUGGAACCUAGGCAGUCAGCACCUUCUUUCUCCUAAAAGGGACUGCACCAGCCUUCUUCACUUGCCCUCUGUAAACCUUAGCUUCCUUAGCCAUUGUGGCGGGAAAACACACAGAAUAAAGUAAUUUUGUCUUCCCUCCUUCCCAAAGAACCUUUAUUUAUUGUUUCUACUGUACACCUUGAUUUCAGGAUGUUAUCCUGGAUUCGGAUGUUUAAGUGUUUUCCCAUGCCUGCAGCCUCCCUGUAACCAUACAAGCCAGAGAUCAGGAGAUAUGCAUCACAGCAGGGGAUCUGGCACAGCCUCCUCUUUUUUCCUCUACUUGGAAAGAACAGGGACAAAUAUUAGCUUGAGAUGAAAGAGAAUGUCUUCACUUUGUUAGGAACAGGGAACUGAUAAUGGCUCUACCUCACAUGCUUGGCUAGCUUUGUGCCAUACCAUGGGAGGCUGCCAAACUCGAGUUCAGCUGAUCCCUCACUAUCUGCAAGGGAAGGCAGAGCCAAUGCCCACUCAACGGGACUUUGUCCUCCCCAUGGCAGGCAGCUUAUGAAACGUCAGCCUUUGCGUGUGCUGGCAUGGCAGCACGACUCUGGCCCUCACAAUAGCGGCGUUCUCCGUGGGCUCAGCUGGAAGAGGUUCACACAGAGUUAAACCUAUGCUCAGAGCACUUUUCAGCAAGAUCCCAUCAGUUAUUGGCAGGGCCUGAGGCAACAGGCUUGGGGCUGGAUGCACUUUCCACAGCAUGAGUACUGAACAAUGGUGUGUGUGUGUGUGUGUGUGUGUGUGCGUGUGCACUUAUGAGUCCGUAUUGCAUGUGUGCUCUGUACAUGUAGGCUAAAACCCACGGGUUUUCAGAGCUGUUAAUAAUCACCCAGCACAUUUCAUCCAUUCUGUGGAUGGGGCACAGGGGAAGGCUGGCCUUGUCUGACCACGCCAUCCAGACACUGUGCCUUGCCCCUGCUAUCUCAGCGCCCUCUGCGUUGCUGCAGACCUGUAUGCAUGGAGCACCUCCUUGCCAAUGCCAUUAAUUCUUUCCUGUUCAGAGAUGUUUUCAAAUGGCAAGAAAAUACUGUUCUGGCUUCUGUAGUCCUUUCAAAGGGUGAGUUAACUGUUCCCUUGAUGCCUUCAUGUUUGGAUCUGCUGCAGGCAGGAUUGGGUGCAUCUUCUGAGCACAAGUUGGCCCUAUGGCCAUUUAUAAGUAAGGGUUAAUAAGGAGGUGGGGCUCUGAAGAGUUUUGUCUUGUUCCUGUUUGUCUGAGCUGGAACACCUUCCUCUGAGCUUCAUUUGCAAUAGCUGCUUGCAGAUGGAGCUCUGCCUUCAACCUGACUUGAGAGAGGCAGACAGGGUGCUUGAGAGGACUCUCUCCGGUUCGUAGGAAAGUAAUUCAUUGGCGUGACUGUGGUUUCCCAAGCAAUCUGCUCUUUUGUUGGAAAUCAAACUAGCUGACACAGGCAAGGGGAAAUGUUUGUUCAGUGUGAGAUCAGAGGCUCUUGUUUUGAAAGUUCAGUUUUAUCCUCAGUCCCAACUUCUCUCUAUACACCAUUAAUCACUUGCCUGGGAACAGAGAGUUUGAACCGUCUCCAGAGCUGUACAAGCAGAUUUGGUGGCUGUCAGUAGUACUCUGUAAAUAAGUACCAGCAGGCAACUGUGUAAGUAAACAGCUUCUUUGGGAGCACCACUGCCUUUCUCCACAGUUUACAUUAGUGCAGCGGAAGGGCUCUGUCAGCUUUUGCAGGGACAGCCUAAGCACCACACACCAGGCAGGAACAAGCUGCAACUUCCAAUUGACAGUUUUACCACCCGCUUCCCUGCAGCUCAGAAAGAGCAGGAUUUGUAUUGGGAAGCUGGGAAACCAGCUGUGUCACAGAAACAGCUGUGCUGUGACAUCGUCUUUGUCCCUCAGUGUGCAUGUGUUUCAACAUAGGCUAUAGUUACACAAGUGUGAACUCACCUUACCUAUGGGGCCAACAUUCUUACAAAAUGGGUUGUGCCUGCCAGAAGAAAGGCAUGGUUUUAGGAUGGAUGACUGGAGGACAAAUUCCAUUUUAAUAGAAUAGGUAGGCUUCUACAGAAAGGCAUUCUGGUGCAACUGAGAGUAAUAUAUGUCCUGAGAUCUUUUAAGUAUUCUCUCUAGAAAAUAUUUUUAUGACCAUUUACAUGGAAUAUUUCAGAAUUUCUUUUGUAUGUACGUGUGUGAUUGAAAUGUAGAGAAAAUGAAUGUAAUUUUCCUUAAAAGUGUUCAUUUCCAUUAAAAGGCUAUUUUUCCACUAAAU
This 7875-nucleotide long non-coding RNA is filed under the name Taeniopygia guttata (zebra finch). RNAcentral's name for it is "lncRNA (ENSTGUG00000025057.1)". Lineage: Eukaryota; Metazoa; Chordata; Aves; Passeriformes; Estrildidae. The record is from RNAcentral.